This 1616-nucleotide long non-coding RNA is filed under the name Canis lupus familiaris (dog). RNAcentral describes it as "lncRNA (ENSCAFG00040005603.1)". The record is from RNAcentral. Lineage: Eukaryota; Metazoa; Chordata; Mammalia; Carnivora; Canidae.
CUCUGCAGAGUCCUCUUUCGGUAAACUCCGAAUUUCUGGCGGGGCUUUUCGUGGCAGCAAAACGCCAAUCAAUUUCCAUCACGUUGAGCGUGACCAAACUGCAGUCCCGUGCAAGGGCCAUCCGCUUCCUUGAAAACCAUCUUUCAGAUGCUUCCCGCCCCGAAUCCUAAAAACAGGAAGCACGACACACUUAAGAUUUCUUCAGGGUGGUUUUUAUUUUUUUUUUUUUAAUUAUUUUUUAAAAAUGUUGUAAUACUUUCUUUCGUCAAGGAAAUUUUUAUUAGCAUUUGCAAAAUCUCCUGGCAUUGCGCUACCUCUAUUCAAGGGUAAGAGCCCCAACUGUGGCUACCUCAGUGGUGCCAGGGAGAUGGCUGAGGCCAGAGGGAUGACUGUGUAAGUGCUGUUUAUUUGACAAACGUGUAGGGCUCUAGGAGGGAGGACUCUUAAGCCCCUGGCUUUGAGAAGACACUUCUCUAUUUAUUGGAGACUGACAAUUAAACAUUAUUUAAGAGAGUCCUCCCAUCUGCUGUGAGUGGGAAUAGGGUUGCAGAAGAAGAGGGAGAGAAGAAGCAGACUUUCCACUGAGCGAGGAGCCCAACAGGAUUGCGGGAGUGUUACCUGCGGCUGGUUUUCACACAGGUGUAUGUCAUUAGAAUGCUUAUGGGCAAGCAGCUUAGAAGGUAUAAAGAAUCUUUUGGCUGCAAAACUGAGGCAAGAAGAGAAAACAAAUGGAAACUGAAAGCGGUACCCAAAGUUCUUGGAUGAAGCACACAUCUCCCCUUGCUGUUCACUCUGAUGUUGCCCACUCUUCUGGCUGAUGUACUCCUGCCAAGUGCUGCUUUGAGGGUGGCUAACCUAUGGUAGAGGGGAUCAUGUGACCUAGUUAGUCUCUUCAGGGUAUAUUAAAAAUGUGUAGAACUGGUCUGAAUUGUAAAAGGCAAGAAAAUGCAAAUAUUAUAUUAAAACUUAUAAAUUAUUUUUGUCCAUUGUUCUACCUUUUUUUAUGACUUAUUCAAAAUAGAUUUCCACUGUAUUCCAUUGCAGCUAGUACCCUAGACACUUGUUUUCCAUUUUCAGUCAAAAAUCUUCCAUUAAUAAAAGCAAAUUGAAAUAGUUAGCUUAUUUAUCUCUUUGCCUCAGUUCCUUUAUAAAAGUGAGCGUGUUCACAUUAAUCUCCACAUAGUUUCUUCUUAGUCUGUUAAUUUUUGGCUUGAGAGAAAAACAGGGAAAGGAAGACAGAGAGAAUGUGUGUGUGUGUGUGUGUGUGUGUGUGUGUGUGUUGACAAUUAGGCCCUUUCAUGAGGGAAAAAUAUUUUUUCCUAAACAUUUGGAAAAACCUAGAAACAACAUUUUAAUGGAAUUAGUAUAAAUAGAGGUCAUUACUUAUUAUUUAAAUGCCUGGGUUUUCUUAAGGAUUGAUAUAUCAAACUAUGUGAAUUAAAUUUAGGAACUUCUAAGUUAAGAAUUUUCCAUUAGAAAACAUCCAUAAAGAUAACAGGAAGUCGAAAUAAUCCCCAAUCACCUGUUUAUUAGGCUCCAAAUGAAAAUCAUAAAUUGUGCAUGAAAAAAUAGGUGGAUGAGAUGUGUGGUUAAGUAGAAGACCCGGCACUUUGAAG